CAUCACUACCAAUUCCCAAAAGUGUGUGUGUGCACUCAUCGUGGAUUUGAUGUAAGUAUUGGCUAGAGUUCCCACCAUAUUCCAGGGACUCUGUACUGUAGAACAAUUUGUAGCUAUUUAAUAAGACUUUACAGUGAAACAUUUUAAUAAUAUUGAAAAAUAGGGUGGUUGGUCAGGAGCGAUGUAGGUGUGGUAGGCUUCUUGGGCAGGCUCACCCGAGUCCCCUUGUAUGGGUACCUGGUAGGCCACCUCUUGGACAGAUACAGGUUGGCCGCUAGGAUGAGCAUGGGGUAGGCUUCUUGGGCAGGCUCACCCGAGUCCCCUUGUAUGGGUACCUGGUAGGCCACCUCUUGGACAGACACAGGUUGGCCACUAGGAUGAGCAUGGGGUAGGCUGCCCCAUGACGGGCGCGGGUCUGCCCCUCAGGCAGGCGCGAGAUGGCUCCUUGGAUUAGCACAGGUUGUUGAAAACCUGUGACAUGGAUUAGCCAAGGCCCAGGGCGUCAAGGCAGGCUGGUCCACAGUGAUGACAUUACAGGUUCAGUAGAUAUGGGUAGCUGGGGCAAGGGGUGGUGUAGUGUUGCCAGAGCACUGGAGCAUCGCUCCGCCAUUUCCAACAAUGGUGCUUGUUUAUGUUGGUAGCCCGAAGACGUGAUGAAUGGAGAGAAAGUCAUGCUGUUAGAGCCCGGUCCUGUUGAUGGGUGAUCAACCACUGACACUCCCUACAGUGACCCACUACACAGUCAUUCACAUGAGAAUGAAACACUUUCUGCUGUGGUAGAUGGAAAUCUGGUGCAGUACAACUGGUAAACAUCAUCCGUCUUGAAGGACCAUGAAAAAUAAGCUAAGGAACCUAGAUAGGUCAUUGGUUGGAUAGAUGUCACCAUGAGUACUUGCAAAUGACAGAGACAGUGCCAUAGUUCACCUAUUUAUUGAGGACUUGUGAUUGGACAUGGUGAAGUUGGAUUUGUGGGGUUCUGCAACAAAGGCGAGACAUCAUGAGCAGGUUGUAGAACAUACAAGGUGAUAUGGAUAAACCUAUUAAACCAAUACAUCUGAAAUAAGGAAAUAGGAAACAAACUUACUCUUAACACACACAACUGGAAAGCAACUGAGCUUGACAGGCUUUAAAUACAAACAGCAAGUGUGAACGAGCCUAUCAGGGCAGUUCUGAUCAUUACUGACAGGUGUGUGAUUGCAUGAGCGAGUCAACAGGUAAAAUCAACUUGCUUGAUCAAGUCCACCUCAGCUGUAUGCUACUCCACUCUGAGGGCUGUUGUACAUACAUCAUUGUAACCUAUCAACAACUUGUUUGUUUCUUUGGGAGUCAUUCAAAAAGCGCAACUUGAUAGUUAAGCCUACCAAUUUUUAAGUAAAUGCUCUUUUCGUUUCUCUGUGUGAUUUCCGAGCCAGUAGAUUUCAGAUCAUGGACAGUAGAUUUUACCCGGUGACAGAUGUAGAGGCAGUGAAAACUCUUAGUGUGUCUUUUCUCUCCUACACAGUGACAAUAUGCAUCACAUUGUAAAAGUAUUAGGUGUCAAGGUGCUAGACGUAAUUUGGAUUGAAUGAAAGGAAACAAGGUCAUUGCUUUUCACCGUCAGACGUAGGAACUCACCACUUCCUCUAGAGAUUAAUCAGAUCAAAGACAAUAUGAGUUACAGUGAAACUCGCAUGCAUCGCUCAUGUUUAUGCUCGAUCAGGGGCUGAGUGCACAGCACAUCAACCAAUAUGAGUCCAAGUGCAGAUAAAAGUCACAGGAGCUUAUAUAAGACACCACUGCUAUUGGCUUCUGGUUAUAACAUUUAUGUUUCAGCCUAAUAUCUCAAACAAACAGAUGUUUGUUGAGAAACGGCUGAGCAUAAAAUGGGAAAUUGAGAGAACAUUGUAGGCACACAUAUCUGUGAUCUCAAACUCAUAUUCUCUUUUUGAAAAAUGUUGUUUGAAAUGAUAUUUCUGAAGGUUAUUUGACAUUGACAUUUCAAUCAUAUAUAUAUUUAAUUCAAAUCAAACUAAAUGUAGGUUCCACUGAAUAAAUAACCAGUUAGACUACCCUGUGAAGGUAGAAAUAAGAACAACUGCCUCCAGAUUCCAUGUACAUCUACUCAUUAUCAGUUGGAAACUAUAGUAGGUAUGAAACAAGCUUCUACUGUAGCUUCUUGAGUUUCUGAGACUUGGGGACAAAACCACAUCCUGUUCUAUGUUGAGCUUGACACGGUUAUUG
This is a long non-coding RNA of Oncorhynchus kisutch (coho salmon), 2220 nucleotides long. RefSeq lists it as uncharacterized. The record is from RefSeq and is a predicted model, not a curated record. NCBI's taxonomy places the organism in Eukaryota, Metazoa, Chordata, Actinopteri, Salmoniformes, Salmonidae. The transcript is spliced from 2 exons.